UACGUAGGCAGCGAGCGUUGUUCGGAGUUACUGGGCGUAAAGAGUGCGUAGGCGGUGUUCCAAGUCUGUUGUGAAAUCUCCCGGCUCAACUGGGAGGGUGCGGGCGGAAACUGGGACGCUGGAGUACGGGAGAGGUAAGCGGAAUUCCUGGUGUAGCGGUGAAAUGCGUAGAUAUCAGGAGGACACCGAUGGCGAAGGCAGGUCACUGGGCCGCAACUGACGCUGAGGAGCGAAAGCAUGGGGAGCGAACAGG
RNAcentral lists this ribosomal RNA (253 nucleotides) under uncultured bacterium. RNAcentral's name for it is "partial 16S ribosomal RNA". It matches the Rfam family "Bacterial small subunit ribosomal RNA", at positions 524 to 776 of the family's 1533-position model. The record is from RNAcentral.